GUAGGCUCAUUAUUGCAUGCUUGAACUAUGGUAAAAAUUUCAUACUCAUUGGAUCACAUAUAACUUAGUUAUAGAUAAAGCAUAGAUUUAACAAGAAUAAAGCUAAAUAAAUCUAUAACUAAAUUUUACUUGAUCCAAUGGAUACAAAACUUUUACCAUAGUUCAAGCAUACAAUAAUGAGUCCACCAUAAAAAAUUUACCACAAUUGAACCAU
This 214-nucleotide microRNA precursor is filed under the name Sorghum bicolor (sorghum). RNAcentral describes it as "miR5569 stem-loop (sbi-MIR5569)". Lineage: Eukaryota; Viridiplantae; Streptophyta; Magnoliopsida; Poales; Poaceae. The record is from miRBase by way of RNAcentral.